AUUUUGUAUAUAAUUUUUAUUCUAGAAAACCUCUACAUUAUUUUAGGAAUAAUAAGGAGUUGCAUCACUGUCAUGCUCAUUAGUACCAAACAUAGUUCAAGCUUGCAUACUUAUUGGCCUUUGAAGCUUCUAAAACACUAAAAGAAACUAAAGGUUAAAACAAAAAGAGAAAACCAGAAACUAAAUAGGAGCUGUGUUUUGUAAAUUUUUAGUGCUUUCUUUGUGUUUAGGUUUUGUUGUAUGUAUGCUAAAGGGCUGUGUCUAAUUUGGUCUUUCUAUCACUAGGUAUUUCUUACUCAGUUGUUUUGUUGAGCAAAUUGAAAUUAAGCCUUGCUUCAUGAAUUGUUUAUUUUAAUUAUAAUUAAUUUGGUCUUUCUGUCACUAUUCCCCUUCUUGUGCUCUCUUCAUGUUCCUCUCUACUCGCGGUUCUUCAUGCUAGUCAGGUUCUUCUCUUCGCCUUGUUUUUCUCGCGUUCCUAUUCUCGCCUUGUUAGCUUGCAUUAAUUCAGGUAGUAUAUUUUUUAGUUGAGUUUUUCUUUUUCUGCUGAGAUUUUUUCAUUCAUUUCUGUUUUCAACAUAGUUUACCUCAUGUUCCUCUCUUUCUCUGUUCUUUGCACUGUCUUGGUUACUUCUCUCUACAUUUUGCCAGAAAAUUACAUAGUACAAGAUCUGGUUUCAUUCUGCAUUUGAUCUGCAACCAAACUUGUUUCAUUUCAUUAGCUUGUUCCUGAAGAUGAAUGCGCAUGAUCAGUCCCUGGAUUUGGAGAAAUAGAUUCUGGUUCUGACAAUGACACAUAAAUCAUGUGUCUUCUCAUUACAAGAUCCAUAUUCAGAUUCAGAUGUUAGUAGAGAGAAUGCAGGGAAGAGGAUGAAGCACGGGUUAAAAAAGCGCUUGUGACACUGUGAACUUCACAGAAGAAAAGAUUAGUUUGACGAGAGAACAACUAAAUUAGACCUCUUGAUCAACACCGAAUGUUCUGUUCCAAUAAGGAUACUCUUCAACCUCCUUUACACCCUCAUGAGCUUCUUCAUCUCCGCACAGCUACUCUUCAACCUCGAGCUCCCACUCUCUCUCUCUCUCUCUCUCUCUCUCUCUCUCUCUCUCUCUCUGACACACACACACACACACACACACACACACAGUUUUGAUUUUUUGACCUUUUUGUCUCCUCUUUCUGUGAUGCACAGCACGAUUUCGAUGCGCCGCUCAGAGUGACGUUGCUUUCUUCUAGAGUGUUCCACUCGUCGGAGGCAUUCAAAUUGGACUACGAGAAGAUGGAGAAGGAGUUGAGGGUGUUUGUGUACCCUGACGGUGAUCCUGAGACCUAUUUCCACACGCCGAGGAAGGUCACCGGGAAAUAUUCCAGCGAAGGUUAUUUCUUCAAGAACAUCAAAGAAAGUCGUUUCUUCACUGCCGAUUCUCUUCAAGCUCACCUCUUCUUCAUUCCUAUUUCUUGCCACAAAAUGCGAGGCAAGGGGUUGACUUAUGAGCGUAUGAUUUAUGAAAUUGGGAAGUAUGUGGAGAGCUUAAAGUUCAAGUAUCCUUAUUGAGUGCUGAUCACUUUUUUGUGACUUGCCAUGCUGAAUAAUGACUAUAAGAAAAUUAGACCUCUUGAUCACUAUUUCACUAGUGGUUUAAAUGGAUAUGUACUAUGCCAAGAAUACACCACUGGAGAUUUUGCCCAGAUAUAAUUAUCAUGGUAUGUACAAGGAACAAGCUACUAGGAUUUGGAGAAAAAUAUAUCCAAGUCAAUUGAUAAAACUUGAAACAAAUAUAUUUAGCUUUUUUAUUUUGAGUCCAUGUAUUUCGUUUAGAGGUUUAGAGGUCUUAUUUAAUUAUCUUUCCAUGUUUUGAUGUUUUCAUAUUGAAUUAGAGAUUGUUACAUGAUAAUGUAUUUGAAAUAUUUUAACUUGAUAAUAUAUAUCCAAGUAGAAUAA
RNA transcript from Arachis ipaensis, 1937 nucleotides. It is a transcript of the gene named putative glycosyltransferase At5g03795, with no coding region annotated. Lineage: Eukaryota; Viridiplantae; Streptophyta; Magnoliopsida; Fabales; Fabaceae. The record is from RefSeq and is a predicted model, not a curated record.